This 500-nucleotide ribosomal RNA is filed under the name uncultured Myrionecta. RNAcentral describes it as "bacterial SSU rRNA". It matches the Rfam family "Eukaryotic small subunit ribosomal RNA", at positions 1212 to 1799 of the family's 1831-position model. The record is from RNAcentral. Lineage: Eukaryota; Ciliophora; Litostomatea; Cyclotrichida; Mesodiniidae.
AACUUACCAGGUCAAGACAUGGGCGUGAUUGACAGGCUAAUGACUUUUCUCGAUUCCAUGGAUGGUGGUGCAUGGUCGCACUUAGUUGGUGCAGUGAUUUGUCAGGUUUAUUCCGGUAACGAACGAGACCUCGGCCUUGUAAAUAGCUAUGCUGCUUACAGGGACAUUGGCGGCUACGCCAAGGAAGCUCGAGGCAAUUGCAGAUCUGGAAUGCCCUUAGAUGUCCUGGGUCGCACGCGUGCUACAAUGACGCCACGAACGAGCUUGCGUGAUGAAAGUUACGCAUAAUCAGCAGUCGGCGUCUUAAGGGAUAGUCUCUUGUAACUGUGGGACUCCAACUAGGAAUGUCUCGUAAGCACAAGUCAACAUCUUGUGUUGAUUACGUCCCUGCUCUUUGUACACACCGCCCGUCGCUCCUACCGAUUGAGUGCUUAGGUGAAUUUGAUGGACGUAAGGAAGUCAAAUAAACCUGAGCACUAGAGAAGAGAAGUCGAGCAUGC